RNAcentral lists this ribosomal RNA (253 nucleotides) under uncultured bacterium. RNAcentral's name for it is "partial 16S ribosomal RNA". It matches the Rfam family "Bacterial small subunit ribosomal RNA", at positions 524 to 776 of the family's 1533-position model. The record is from RNAcentral.
GACGUAGGGGGCGAGCGUUGUCCGGAUUUAUUGGGCGUAAAGCGUGCGUAGGCGGCUGCGCAAGUCGGGUGUGAAACCCCGGGGCUCAACCCCGGAACUGCAUCCGAUACUGCGUGGCUAGAGGUAGGUAGGGGAGAUCGGAAUUCCUGGUGUAGCGGCGAAAUGCGCAGAUAUCAGGAGGAACACCGGUGGCGAAGGCGGAUCUCUGGGCCGUACCUGACGCUCAGGCACGAAAGCUAGGGGAGCGAACAGG